RNAcentral lists this unclassified non-coding RNA (328 nucleotides) under Hevea brasiliensis (rubber tree). Lineage: Eukaryota; Viridiplantae; Streptophyta; Magnoliopsida; Malpighiales; Euphorbiaceae. The record is from RNAcentral.
AUACAACUUUUGGGAGGAGGUGAGUAUGAACUUGAUGUUGUGUUCUCAUUGUAUUAUUCGCUGAACCCUAUGAAUUUUUGUUAAUUUCAUUUUUCACCUUAAAUUGAAAUACAUUUGGUGCAUUCUCUUGUAUUAGUGAAAGCUUCCCCUAGUUUUACUUAUUUAUUUACAUUUUUAAAAAGCAUAUAGUUAAAAUUGUAGGGGAAUUUUUUUCCCCAUUUCUCUAGACCAAGCAUCAUAGUUGAUUGCACUGAGAAAGGCCUUAAUGGUAAACAUUCUAAGUUGUGCUCAUUUGGUUGUUUGUAGAAUAAAUGGUUGAUCAAAUUUC